RNAcentral lists this transfer RNA (70 nucleotides) under Anguilla anguilla (European eel). RNAcentral describes it as "tRNA-Pro". Lineage: Eukaryota; Metazoa; Chordata; Actinopteri; Anguilliformes; Anguillidae. The record is from RNAcentral.
GUCUGUGACCUAGUGGGUAAGGUUACAGGCUUGGGAACAGUGGGUCGCAUGUUCAAGCCCAGCUUGGACC